AUUGAACGCUGGCGGAAUGCUUUACACAUGCAAGUCGAACGGCAGCACGGGGCAACCUGGUGGCGAGUGGCGAACGGGUGAGUAAUACAUCGGAACGUGCCCAAUCGUGGGGGAUAACGUAGCGAAAGUUACGCUAAUACCGCAUACGAUCUACGGAUGAAAGCGGGGGAUCGCAAGACCUCGCGCGAAUGGAGCGGCCGAUGUCAGAUUAGGUAGUUGGUGGGGUAAAGGCUCACCAAGCCAACGAUCUGUAGCUGGUCUGAGAGGACGACCAGCCACACUGGCACUGAGACACGGGCCCGACUCCUACGGGAGGCAGCAGUAGGGAAUAUUGGACAAUGGGCGCAAGCCUGAUCCAGCCAUCCCGCGUGAAGGAUUAAGGCCCUCUGGGUUGUAAACUUCUUUUCUCUGGGAAUAAAAGUGGAAUUCAUUCCGCCUUGAAGGUACCAGAGGAAUAAGCACCGGCUAAACUCCGUGCCAGCAGCCGCGGUAA
Molecule: ribosomal RNA, 493 nt
Filed under: uncultured bacterium
Lineage: Bacteria
Description: bacterial SSU rRNA
Rfam family: Bacterial small subunit ribosomal RNA
Source: RNAcentral